UCCUACCUCUUUCUCAUAAUGAAAUCAGUGGAUUAUGAUGAUUUGUGUACUCCAUUAAUAUAAUGUAAGAAGUAUCACAUGGUUUUGUUGUCCAACUCGUUAUCAAGACUUUAGGCCCAUUGUUUUUAUAACAUGAUUGAAAACACAGCAUCAAAUUGAUAACAACAGGCAAUCGUCCUGUAAUUAUUCAGGUCCGAACCACUUGGUCUGCAAUUUAGAAAUAAAUUUACUUG
RNAcentral lists this long non-coding RNA (233 nucleotides) under Solanum tuberosum (potato). RNAcentral's name for it is "long non-coding RNA (STUB_LNC002465)". The record is from RNAcentral. Lineage: Eukaryota; Viridiplantae; Streptophyta; Magnoliopsida; Solanales; Solanaceae.